AUUGAACGCUGGCGGCAGGCCUAACACAUGCAAGUCGAGCGGAUGAAGGGAGCUUGCUCCUGGAUUCAGCGGCGGACGGGUGAGUAAUGCCUAGGAAUCUGCCUGGUAGUGGGGGAUAACGUCCGGAAACGGGCGCUAAUACCGCAUACGUCCUGAGGGAGAAAGUGGGGGAUCUUCGGACCUCACGCUAUCAGAUGAGCCUAGGUCGGAUUAGCUAGUUGGUGGGGUAAAGGCCUACCAAGGCGACGAUCCGUAACUGGUCUGAGAGGAUGAUCAGUCACACUGGAACUGAGACACGGUCCAGACUCCUACGGGAGGCAGCAGUGGGGAAUAUUGGACAAUGGGCGAAAGCCUGAUCCAGCCAUGCCGCGUGUGUGAAGAAGGUCUUCGGAUUGUAAAGCACUUUAAGUUGGGAGGAAGGGCAGCAAGUUAAUACCUUGCUGCUUUGACGUUACCAACAGAAUAAGCACCGGCUAACUUCGUG
RNAcentral lists this ribosomal RNA (484 nucleotides) under uncultured bacterium. RNAcentral describes it as "partial 16S ribosomal RNA". It matches the Rfam family "Bacterial small subunit ribosomal RNA", at positions 30 to 507 of the family's 1533-position model. The record is from RNAcentral.